GCGAGGGAUACUUCGGUCUUCCAAACCGGGGACCCGGGUUCGAAUCCCGGCGGCCGUU
RNAcentral lists this transfer RNA (58 nucleotides) under Catenulispora sp. RNAcentral describes it as "tRNA-Ser". It matches the Rfam family "tRNA", at positions 15 to 71 of the family's 71-position model. From Rfam's summary of the family: Transfer RNA (tRNA) molecules are approximately 80 nucleotides in length. Their secondary structure includes four short double-helical elements and three loops (D, anti-codon, and T loops). Further hydrogen bonds mediate the characteristic L-shaped molecular structure. tRNAs have two regions of fundamental functional importance: the anti-codon, which is responsible for specific mRNA codon recognition, and the 3' end, to which the tRNAs corresponding amino acid is attached (by aminoacyl-tRNA synthetases). tRNAs cope with the degeneracy of the genetic code in two manners: having more than one tRNA (with a specific anti-codon) for a particular amino acid; and 'wobble' base-pairing, i.e. permitting non-standard base-pairing at the 3rd anti-codon position. Lineage: Bacteria; Bacillati; Actinomycetota; Actinomycetes; Catenulisporales; Catenulisporaceae. The record is from RNAcentral.